Molecule: long non-coding RNA, 1098 nt
Organism: Salvelinus sp. IW2-2015
Lineage: Eukaryota; Metazoa; Chordata; Actinopteri; Salmoniformes; Salmonidae
Source: RefSeq, a predicted model, not a curated record
CUGAUCGCUGAAGUAGACAAACUGAGAGACUUGGAGGCUCAGCUAAACUCUUCGGCGCAACAGAACAGAGCUUUGGGAGCCAAUUUCUUUGCCACAGUGAAAGGAAUGUGCAAACUGAAAGACAAUGAAGAAAUCAAAGUUUAAUUGACUGCCAAAGAGGUUGAAUUUCAAACUGAAGUGAUCGAAAUGAAGAAAGUGAUUGAAGGUAUCUUCACAGAUCCAGUGAAGGGAGUCUACUACUUCACAUUAUGUACGUUUGUCUACAAUGACCACAAGGGUGCUGAUGGUGACAAURCCAAUUUGAAUCAGAAUAAUGGGGACAGGGUCUGUGUGGAACUGUGGGAGCAGUGCCAGGUGUAAGACAACAAUGAUGGGCACACUACCUUCAGUGGCCUCCUGCUUUUUCCUGUAAAAGAGACGUUAUAACCUGUAAAUGAGAAUUACCUCCCUGCCAUGAAAUGCACACUAGGUGUGUCCCAAUAAUCUCCUUUCUCCUGAAGCGUGUACUCUUUCACUAAAAGCAUUGGAUUGGUGGAGGCAUGGGCUAGUGGUAAUUUCCAACAUAUUUCUUAUUCCAGUCAUCAGUAAUUUCCUCUAAAUUAGUGACGGGAAGUGAACAAGUGCACACUUUGGGAGGAAUGAGAGCCAAUUGGGACAGAGCCUCUGUCUGUAAUGAAGCAGGAAUUCUCUUGACGGUGACUGAAUUUAGUGAGAAUUAACUCCGCUGAAUCCCAAACCAGCCCUGUUUUCUCAUGGACUGCUCUUGCAAGUUGUAUUUUUGUCUUUUUAAAGUUUUCAUAUCCACAAUAUUUCUGACCUUUUUUGUGAUUUGUUUAUGGAAAAUCUAGAAAAAGCCUGGAUUAUAAUUUAUGAAUUUCUCAUGCCUCCAUGUUAUUUUUCUAUGCUGUUAAUUUAGUUUAGUGUUUUUAACGACUAUGAUAGAUUAACUGUAGACAUUGUUUUUGAACCGUUGGUUGAACUUCAGUAUGCCAAUGCAAUUCAUUAGACAUUUUCAGACUCUGACUGUCAUGUGGUCCUCAGUGUUCUCUGUAUAAUAAUGUACUUUCCAUCUCCUUUAAAAUAAGGUGCAUCUUUGCC